CCCAUGCUGCACUGGCUUUGGAUUUCUAAAUGUUUCCCAGUUAAAAGGAGGAGAGGUGACAUGUCUCACUCUGAGCAGCUUGGGAAUUCAGAUGUGCAGUGAGGAGAAUGGAGGAGCCUGGCGCAUUUUGGACUGUGGCUCUCCUGACAUUGAAGUCCACACCUAUCCCUUCGGAUGGUACCAGAAGCCCAUUGCUCAAAAUAAUGCUCCCAGUUUUUGCCCUUCGGUUGUUCUGCCUUCCCUCACAGAGAAAGUGUGUAAAGUCCAGGAGGUGAGAGGGACCCAGCUGAAGAGGAUGGAGUGAGGGCUUCCGUAUAACUGGAGUACCUGGUGUCAUGGGAAGAUUCACAUAUAUCUGGCCAAACGAACAACUCCAUGUUUUCCAAAAGGCUUGGAGAACAUACCGGGUGCCGCCUCUCCUCUUUCCCUUUGUGUUUGUCAUUUUGGCGAAUUACUGGAAGAUGGUGGUUCCAGUCGAAAGCCUUUUUGGCCAUUUUUAACAGCUGAAAAUAAACCUUGAAAUAAACAUUUUCUCCUUUAACUGAUGUCUGGGAAGGAAGAAAGAAAAAAAGAGAAGAAAGGAAAUAAAGAAGGAAGGAGGGAGGGAGAGAGUGAAGGAGGGA
Molecule: small RNA, 623 nt
Filed under: Pongo abelii (Sumatran orangutan)
Lineage: Eukaryota; Metazoa; Chordata; Mammalia; Primates; Hominidae
Description: processed transcript
Source: RNAcentral